UCGCUUUGGCAGCGCAUAUACUAAAAUUGGAACGAUACAGAGAAGAUUAGCAUGGCCCCUGCACAAGGAUGACACGCAAAUUCGUGAAGCGUUCCAUAUUUUU
Small nuclear RNA from Prolemur simus (greater bamboo lemur), 103 nucleotides. NCBI's taxonomy places the organism in Eukaryota, Metazoa, Chordata, Mammalia, Primates, Lemuridae. The record is from Ensembl.